Long non-coding RNA from Nothobranchius furzeri (turquoise killifish), 1589 nucleotides. The record is from Ensembl. NCBI's taxonomy places the organism in Eukaryota, Metazoa, Chordata, Actinopteri, Cyprinodontiformes, Nothobranchiidae.
AUGUAUAUAUACAUAUAUAUAUAUACAUAUAUAUAUAUACAUAUACUGUAUAUACAUAUAUGUAUACAUAUAUACAUAUAUACACAUAUAAUAUGUCGGCAGUGUCACGAGUUGGUGCAGGAGGAUGUUUAGGACCCAAGAUGCAGAUAACCAGAUGAACAAGGCAGGAGGUGGAUGAAGAAAAUAAAAUCUUUUAUUUGGGAGUCGUCCAAGAGGCAGGGAGCCAAAACCAAAAAUCCAAAAAUUCAAAUAUCUAAAUGGAGUAAUCAAAAGCACUAGAGAACUAGAAACACUGGAAUCAGCCGUCAAUGGCUGCUAGGAGCGCCGUCAAUGGCUGCUCCCAUGGUCUGCCUGUAUCUGUCCUGUCUAUAUGUGUGUGUGUGUGUAACCUUGGUCAGGUUGUACUAUGGAGUCAAGUUCCUACGCUCUGAAAGGAGCGCUGGCAAUAAAAUUCAUUCUGAUUCUGAUUCUGACUAGAAGCUAGGAAUAGGAACGAGACGAGACUGACAUGAACAAUGGACCGACCAAAACACUGUAGCACAGACAGGGUUUUAUACACUGGGGAGGAUGAGAGGGAGAUGAACAGCAGGUGUGUGGAGAGAGAGAGAGACCAGGUGAACUCAGUUACUAAUCAGGGAGGAAACUAACAGAACCUAAGAAUAAAACCUAAAGACAAGAAGAGCAGGAAACAUUAAUAAUCUAAGGGGGGAGAAAAACCACAAACACCGGUGGGAAAAACACACAAAAGAGACUAAUAACACGAACGGCUGUAACAAAAGGAAAAUGACCAAAGGCAAAAACCUAAAGACCAGAAGGGCAGCAAACAUAACUAAUAUUCUAAGGGGGAAGCUGAAACUACAGGAAAACAUCACAGAAAGAAAAACUACAGGGACGUGACUAAAGGGGGCCAAGGGAGUACAGGACCUGGGAGGGGGAUGCCUGAGGAGGGAAACCUAGAGGGCUGAAGAUCUGGGGCAAAUGGCGAACACCAGGAGACACAUGAGCCAGCUGGCACGUGAGGAUCAAAAGGAGUCCAACGCUCCAGAAGUUCAGAGUGCCCAUGUUCCACCUACAACCCAGCACAGGCUGCUUCUGCUGGGGGAAAAGAAAACCCGUGUUCGGUCCGUCACUCCUCCGCUGGUCCACCGGAACCAGUCACCUUCUCUCUCUCUCUCUUUCUCUCUCUCUCUUAUUAUUACUUAUUCACACUUCACCAGAGUGUGGAGAAACCUGCGGCUCCUCAGCGACCCUCAUCAACAGGUAAAAAGCCUUUCCACCUCUCCGCGCUUGUUUUCUCAAAGGAGGGGGCGAAAGCAGCAAAAGUCGCUCCUCAGAGAUCCCCGAACGCGCUCCUUCCUCCUCCUUGGAAGUCGGAAUUCAGAGUGGAGCUGAAGGCAGCCUGGGAAAAGUCACUGGGAAGUCCUGAGUGGAGGGAGCGAUGCAGGAAAAGUAAAAGGCGGAAUGGAAUUCGGGGAGCACAGAAAGAGUGGACAGCUAAUCCACCUAGACCCACCUCUGUCUGCAUCACACACACACACACGAGAGAGAGAGAGAGAGAGAGAGAGAGAGAGAGAGAGAGAGAGAGAGAG